UACAGAGGGGGCAAGCGUUGUUCGGAAUUACUGGGCGUAAAGGGCGCGUAGGCGGCCUACUAAGUCGAACGUGAAAUCCCCGGGCUUAACCCGGGAACUGCGUCCGAUACUGGUUGGGCUUGAAUCCGGGAGAGGGAUGUGGAAUUCCAGGUGUAGCGGUGAAAUGCGUAGAUAUCUGGAGGAACACCAGCGGCGAAGGCGGCAUCCUGGACUGGUCCUGACACUCAUGAGCGAAAGCGUGGGGAGCGAUCCGG
This 254-nucleotide ribosomal RNA is filed under the name uncultured bacterium. Its description in RNAcentral is "partial 16S ribosomal RNA". It matches the Rfam family "Bacterial small subunit ribosomal RNA", at positions 524 to 776 of the family's 1533-position model. The record is from RNAcentral.